GAUGAAAACGUAGCGAAAUGCGAUACUUGGUGUGAAUUGCAGAAUCCCGUGAACCAUCGAGUCUUUGAACGCAAGUUGCGCCUCAAGCCAUUAGGUUGAGGGCACGUCUGCCUGGGCGUCACAUAUCGUUGCCUGAUGCCAGUUUCCUCGUGAUGGGUGACUGUGCAGGGCGAAUGAUGGCUUCCCGUGAGCAUUGUUGCCUCAUGGUUGGUUGAAAAUUGAGUCCUUGGUAGGGAGCGCCGUGAUAGAUGGUGGUUGAGUGACGAACGAGACCCAAUCAUGUGAGACCCCUACCGAAUUUGGCCUUCAUGACCCACAUGCGUCUUUGGAACGCUCAUGACGAGACCUCAGGUCAGGCGGGGCUACCCGCUGAGUUUAAGCAUAUCAAUAAGCGGAGGA
This 399-nucleotide unclassified non-coding RNA is filed under the name soil metagenome. RNAcentral's name for it is "partial contains 5.8S ribosomal RNA, internal transcribed spacer 2, and large subunit ribosomal RNA". The stretch from base 1 to 121 matches the Rfam family "5.8S ribosomal RNA", at positions 35 to 154 of the family's 154-position model. The record is from RNAcentral.